CUGGGACCUUUCUGCUGUGCAAAUAGGCUGCUGAAGGUGCCGAUACAUUUCAGCCCGCCCCUAGCCUCACUAACCAAUAAAAAAGGAAAGCAGCUACCUGCGAGGGUCUGGAGGCUGACAGCGCAUGUGUUCAUCAUGGAGCAUAGAGCAGGAAGCAGUAGCAGAAGGCUGCCCGCAUUUGGUGGAAGCAGCACUUGUUUCAAGACUGGCAGUGACGCCUGUGUUUUUGUGCAGUGUGGCGGAAUCGUCCGUGGAGUCCUGCCCUUAUUCUUGACAUCAGAAUGAUGUGGCACCCAGAAAGAUUUCCCCAUCUGAAAAAAAAAGAACCUACGUCUCUCAUCCAAACCGGUGCCUGGUUGCUAGGGAAAAUCAGAUCCUAGUAACAGCUGCUGAAAUACCAAACCUGAGAGCUGCUGAACAAAAAACGAAAUAACUGAAAACAAAACUUUUUUACACUAUACAUAUAUCCUUUUACAAUUACACAAAUACAAAUGUAUAUACAUGAUGGAUUUUUAGACCUGCAGACUAAUGUUCGUGGGAUUAUGUUCGUGGGAUUAUGCGCAUGUAUUUAAAUGCUUGUCGGAAUUCUUGUACCCCAACAUCUACAGCAAACAAGCCACAGCAUGGCAUGUUUAUUCUAUACAUUUAGAGAUUUUUCUUAAUACAUUAAACAGCACAUGGACAACAAAAACACACACACCCAUAAUAAGACCACUGUGUGUAUGUCCUGCAAAAGUUAUCCAAUUUCAUAGCACAGAGAAUGGGAAAAGCCUAAUUAUUUUUUUCCAACAGCAAAGAAAGUAUAAGGAGAUAAACAGAGGGUUUUAGAAUAUCCCUUAAAGGGGUGGUUCACAUUUGAAAUAACUUUUAGUAGAGAGCAAUGUUCUGAGACAAUUUGCAAUUGGUUUUCAUUUUUUAUUAUUUGGAGUUUUGCAUUAUUUGGCUUUUUAAUCGACAUCUCUUCAAUUGGCAUUUUAAGCAAUCUGGUUGCUAGGAUGCAAAUUCCCCUAGCAACCAUGCAUUGAUUUGAAUAAGACAUUGAAAUAUGAAUAGGAGAGGGGCUGAGAAAGAAAGACGAGGAAUACCAAGUAGAAACAACAAUACAUUUGUAGCCUUACAGAACAUUUGUUUUUUUUAAAGGGGUGUCAGCGACGCCCAUUUGAAAGCUGCAAAGAGUCAGAAGAAAAAGGCAAAUAACUAUAAAUCUAUAAAAAAAAAAAAAAUAAUUAAAACAAAUUGAAAAGUUGCUUAGCAUUGCCCAUUCUAUAGCAUACUAAAAGUGGCUUAAACAUGACCACCCCUUGGACUUAAUAGGAAGCCAUAGAAAUGCUCUUUUUAAUGCUGAGCAGUCUUCCAUUUUAUUAAUUCCAUUAUUCUGCUGUUAAUAUGAAUAGGCCCAUUAGAAGCAACCAUUUGUCACUCUGCCGAAGCAGAAUCACAGGCCAUUUUGGAUACGAUGGAGGGGUCACUGUAUUAUUUUUAACUGUUUUUUUUCCAGCAUUUUCAUUUCAUGUUUCAAGACCAUGUUUCAGCAAAAAUCUAAUCAGCUGUUUCAUAUAUUAUUUCAGUCUGUGUGUUUGUGUAUGUCAAUAAAAAAGACA
Molecule: long non-coding RNA, 1601 nt
Organism: Xenopus laevis (African clawed frog)
Lineage: Eukaryota; Metazoa; Chordata; Amphibia; Anura; Pipidae
Exons: 3
Source: RefSeq, a predicted model, not a curated record